UGGCAAUCUUGUGCACGCUCAGCGGGUGACGUCAGAGGAGAAUUUCCGCUUUGUAUUUCAGAGACGCCAUAACAGCAGGACCAUGUGGACAGCAGGAUGGUUUGGUCGCUAAUUUGGUGAGAAAAUUCAUCGAUGUGAAGCCAUGGGGACAUCAACAGUAAGUUACUGCAGUCUAACAGUCUAAGUAAAAGUGCCCUCUCAGUGUACAGUAGCAGCAAGUUAUAUCAACAAAGCAAGACCUGAUCAUGCAGAGGCGAUGUUAAAAAGUGUGGGUUGGGGACAAGCCUAAAACAGUGAAAUUCUGGCGGAUUUGAAUUUUCAACAUACUGAAAAAGUAUUAAAAUGUCACAAUUGAGACACAAUUCUUUUUUCAUAGCUACUACAACCUAACCCUAACAAAUACAAGAAUUGUUUUUUCUAAAAAAUAUUUUUUCUUGAAAAUCUACCCUGGGGACAGAAAAACUCCCCGAAUUGAAGAAUCACCGAUUGACAGUUUAUGAGGCUUCCUUCCCUUUCUUCCAUCAUGCUUCCAGCGCCCCCUUGCAAUUUCAGAACGCCCUAUUGAAAAACCGUAAUGAUGUCUUCUUCCAUGAAGCAAUUUUUGUUAUUUGAAACGUCAAUGUGAAACAGUUUGAAUGAUCACAUUCUGUUCAUAUGGUAAAAACACAGGGCCGAGUUAUUUGAAAUAAUUUGGGAAACAUUGGCAAUGCUUUUGAAUACUUGUUUAAUGUAUGUGAGUUAAGAUUAUAAUAUUGUUUCUUGUAACUUGGCCCGAUUUUGAUAUCAGUACCUUUAAUGCCAGGCCUAGAUUUUGCAAGUUUGAAUUAUCUGCUUUUUUGAAUACACUGUACAUGGUGUCACACCAACCUUACUCACCAGAGUGCCAAGGAAAAAGGAAAGAAAUGCCACCAACAUCCAAAAUGCCUCAAAACAGGAAUAAUAUUUUAAAAAACAAACAAACAAAAAGAGACAGGCGAUCACAGUGAAACAGAGUAGAAAAUCUAGUGAAAUAAUUAUACCUGUAUUAAUGCUGUUACAUUUAACUUUCAGUUUUCAACUGCACACUUUAGAUUGGAACUUUCAUAUAUUUCUUCUGUUGCCUGGCUUUACAUUUCCACAUUCCCACGGACAACACAAUGAGCAGCAGAGCCAUAGCACCUGUGCCCGCCAUCACUUCACUGGCCACACAGCCCCCAGCGCUGGAGCUGGAGAGCCUGCUCGGCAGGGCCUUGGUCAGGUGGGUCUCCAGAGGGUCGGGGCAUCCUGAACAUCAACCAACAAGACACCAUUCAGUAUUGUGUCCUUCAGUUACAGCUGUGACAGAGCAUGCUGCAAUCUACAACAAAGCAGUCGUGAGAUUACAUAUAAAAAACGAGGUAUUUUAAAUAUAAAAUAUAUACCGAUGAGCAAAAAUCCAGUCCAAACUUUGGAGAGUGGAGUAUGAGACACUUGAAUUAGCAAGAAGCUCAUUUAAAUUGAAUCUGUGGGAAGGUUAGACAGUAAAAACAACCUCCUCUGUUCAUGAAACAGUGAAUGUGUGUCCUAGUUUUACAGUGAAAAUGUGAUUCACCGAUAAUUAAAUCUGAAAACAACAAUCUUGUUUUACACCAACAUUUGUGCCUGUUUAUAUUUUGGCACAUCCUGGAAUUACCUUGAGGAUAAUAGCGGCAUUCUCCUUCCUGAAUCUUGUGACCAAUAGGAGCCCAGAGAGUGCAGUGGUAUUUACCACAGUCAUUUAAGGCUGAGGUGGGAAGAAUGAGCGAUAGGUCCUCUCCAAUCUGGUAUGAGUGGUUUGCUGAUUUAUAGAGGACUGUCUGAUUUGUCUUCAGGUUUUUCAGCACCAGCCCAGUCAAACCUCCUUCUACCUACAACAUUAUUACAACAUAAGCCAAGGGCUCUCUUAACAGUUGUGCCAUGUUACAGGUAUCCAAUUUACAAGAUUUGUAUGUAAAAGCCACACAGGUUAAUAAUAGAUUAAAUGCAUUACAUAUUCACCCACACUAUUGUCUACAGUCAGAUUAACAUGCAAUGUAGAGAGUUUAUGAAGAUAUAUUAGACAUUGUGUGUGCGCAUUACUAAUAAAAAGAAAUAUAUAUAUAUUUGGCAUACCUUGUACCAACUAAUUUUCCUGUACAUCACCCCUGGCUGCCGGUGAGCUCGGCAUGGCAACUUUGUCGAAUUGUAGCACUCUCCCUGACGACUGAUUAGCAGUAAAAGGUUCAAUGCUACAAUUAAACAGAACAACCGUAAUAAGAACUUAAGAAGCAAAAUGAGAAUAUGAACAGACAAAAACAGUUUAGUGUGUGAACACUAAACUGAACAAAACCUCGGAUAAUAGGUUACGAAGCGACAUAUCAGUUUCACUAAUUUGCGGAAGUGCAAAUUGCAUUGGACUGGUAAUAGAAAGUACGCAGAAUUAAAAAAAUUAUGAGUUCGGAAUAUCAUCAUAUCGGAAUAGGCGUUUAACCUACACGCGUUUCAUUUUCGGAAUAUUAUUGGAGGUAGCCUUUAGCUAUAUGCACUCCAUCUUAUUCAGAUUUCGCUUCGGAAUAAGGACUGUUCAUUGUUAUUCUUUCAGUAGCUUCGAAACACUCCCUGUUUCGAAGCAACUUCCUCUGAAUAGAAAGUGAAAGUAACGCUAUUAACUCUAAUAGAAAAACAAAAGCUAAUAUACACAAUACAACUUUCACAGUAAAAAUCUAGAGCGGUUUACGUAAAUUUGAAUAGGCUAUAAACAAUAUUAGGCUACUGCAAGAUUAAAUACGCUAUCAUCAACUUGAAUAUCAUUGAAGACGUUAACGUCUGCUGCCAUGCAAAAUCGUAGCCUAUAAUACGGUAGGCUAUGUCUAUAAAUGCAACCGAGUACCUAUGCAUUGCCUAGACCUACUUACAGAUUAACUGCAAAAUGUUUCGCAUUUCAGAGGAAAACAUUUCGAAUAAGGAUUCUUUGUAGUACAAUUUUGUAACAGCCGUUGUUUACAUCCCGCUGCGCUCCUACGUAACCAUCCAUGUGACCUCUGUUUUGCACAUUCCACCCAAUGAAGUUCAGUGAGUCCACCACAUGCUGUGUUUUCAGAAAAAGCGAGACUCAACCUCUCUGGACUCAACUCGCUGCAGGCUUGGAGAAAGCAGUUCUGGACGAUGCACGCGCAGUUUCAGUUGGAGUACAACAUCAUUAUAAUGGAGUGUAAUGUAAUAUAGCAAGCUAGUAAAUGUUUUUAAAACUAGCCUAUAAAAUGCUUCAAUUGUAAUAUUUAUCGCACAAUGGCGUAUUGCUUAUUGUGCGCUCGUAACGUUAUAUUUUUUAGCGAUGAUGAUGGACUAAUUCAUACUUUUAUUGACGAUUAAUGUUACCAACACAGCCAUUCAGUUUUAUCAUCCCAUGUCCAACUUACUUUCAUUCACAGACCCAAAACCCCUCCAAGUGAAAAUAAAUAAUGAGUCACGAAUCAUAAU
Molecule: long non-coding RNA, 3456 nt
Organism: Anguilla rostrata (American eel)
Lineage: Eukaryota; Metazoa; Chordata; Actinopteri; Anguilliformes; Anguillidae
Exons: 4
Source: RefSeq, a predicted model, not a curated record